GAAAACAGCUGAAGAGAGCAUGUGAAAUUGCUGUGAUGAAUAGCAGAAGAGGGGGAGGCUUCUUGCAGUGAGAGAGAUCUAAGCAGCACUUCAGACCAGGAGGCAAACUGAGAAAAAACUUUUUUGGAUGUGGCCAGCACCAAGGCAUCACUUCUCUGGAUUACAAUAACGCGGGCCAGUGGACUUCUGCUUUAAGAAAACAGACUCUAGAGAUGGGAAGCAGCGUGAAAAGAGAUCCUCAUAAACAGCAGAAUAAUCCUGCCCCGCAGUCCUUGCAGGAUGU
Molecule: long non-coding RNA, 283 nt
Organism: Chroicocephalus ridibundus (black-headed gull)
Lineage: Eukaryota; Metazoa; Chordata; Aves; Charadriiformes; Laridae
Exons: 3
Source: RefSeq, a predicted model, not a curated record